Long non-coding RNA from Stegastes partitus (bicolor damselfish), 381 nucleotides. RefSeq lists it as uncharacterized. The record is from RefSeq and is a predicted model, not a curated record. The transcript is spliced from 3 exons. Lineage: Eukaryota; Metazoa; Chordata; Actinopteri; Pomacentridae.
CCACACCUCACACUGAACAGCUUGAGGAGCAGCGAGCAGCGCUGUCUUGCUAAGAACAUGCAACAGCAAACAGAGAAACCUGCAGAGAGUGAUCGGGGUUUGAACACACUGAGGGCCUCUCUCUGUCUCAUCAGCCCGCUUUUUUCCUUCCAAACUGGAGAGGAAGCAGUGGCAGGACGACAAAGGCUGCAAAUGCCUUUUCUUCUCCUAAAGCAGGGUGAAAAAUGACAUAAUGGCAGUCAAGCUCAGUGAACCUGGAUUUUUCAUUUGGAUCAAUCACAGCAAGAAGGCAGCCAGUGGUUUAGUAGAUGUUGUUACAGGACUGAGUGGGAUUGCAACAUCACGCUAACUCAAAAUCUCCAUUAAAAAGCUGAACAAGUU